UACGUAGGGUGCAAGCGUUAAUCGGAAUUACUGGGCGUAAAGCGUGCGCAGGCGGUUGUGCAAGACCGAUGUGAAAUCCCCGGGCUCAACCUGGGAACUGCCUUUGUGACUGCAUAGCUAGAGUACGGCAGAGGGGGAUGGAAUUCCGCGUGUAGCAGUGAAAUGCGUAGAUAUGCGGAGGAACACCGAUGGCGAAGGCAAUCCCCUGGGCCUGUACUGACGCUCAUGCACGAAAGCGUGGGGAGCAAACAGG
This 253-nucleotide ribosomal RNA is filed under the name uncultured bacterium. RNAcentral's name for it is "partial 16S ribosomal RNA". It matches the Rfam family "Bacterial small subunit ribosomal RNA", at positions 524 to 776 of the family's 1533-position model. The record is from RNAcentral.